This 571-nucleotide ribosomal RNA is filed under the name Tmarus hystrix. RNAcentral describes it as "partial large subunit ribosomal RNA". Lineage: Eukaryota; Metazoa; Arthropoda; Arachnida; Araneae; Thomisidae. The record is from RNAcentral.
AUAAAACUUAAUCACCUAGUAGGAUGAUUAUUUUAUUUUAUUUGUCGAUAAGAACUAUUUUAUUUUUUUUUAUUUUAAGAAACAAAUAAUAGUUUUUCACCCAUUAAUUUUUUACUUUAUUAUCCUUAUUAAUAAUUCUAUUAUUUAUCUCUUUUACUUCCUCUUUAUAUUCUUUUAUGUUUUAAAUAUUUAAGAUUACUUUGUUAUAAAAACAAUUUUUCAAAUUAUCGUAGUGAUUUACCAACAUUUUAAGGUUCUUUAGGUUGAAAUAAUCCAGGAAAAGCUCAAACUUAUAUAGAAUUUUAGAAAGCAAGAUUUUAUCAUAUUUUACGAUGAGAUUAAUUUUAAGAUUAUCGUUAAUUUUCUUUUAAUUAUUAUUUUUAUUAAUUUUUAAUUAAUUUUAAUGUAAAAUUAAUUCUCAAAUACUAAAUAUUUUAUUAAAAAAAUCCAGGAAAGCAUGACAUUUUUAUAUAUUUUUCUAUCUUUGGCUGGACCAAAUGUGGCCAGACUUGAGUUAAGUACAUUAAUAAAUUUUCAGCUUGUCUGAAGGAUCUUAAUGAUAACGCAUUAA